ACUCAAAUGAAUUGACGGGAGCCCGCACAAGCAGUGGAGUAUGUUGUUUAAUUCGACGCAACGCGAAGAACCUUACCAGGUCUUGACAUCUACGGAAGGGGCCGUAAUGGGCCCUGUGCCCUUCGGGGAGCCGUAAGACAGGUAGUGCAUGGUUGUCGUCAGCUCGUGUCGUGAGAUGUUGGGUUAAGUCCCGCAACGAGCGCAACCCUUACGUUUAGUUGCUAGUGCGUUAAGGCGCAAAGCACUCUAGACGGACUGCCGUUGACAAAACGGAGGAAGGUGGGGAUGAUGUCAAAUCAUCAUGCUCUUUAUGAUCUGGGCCACAAACGUACUACAAUGGCGCGAACAGCGGGGAGCGAAGGGGCGACCCGGAGCAAAUCCCAAAAACGCGUCCCAGUUCAGAUUGCAGGCUGCAACUCGCCUGCAUGAAGUCGGAAUUGCUAGUAAUCGCGGAUCAGCAUGCCGCGGUGAAUACGUUCCCGGGCUUUGUACACACCGCCCGU
Molecule: ribosomal RNA, 503 nt
Filed under: uncultured bacterium
Lineage: Bacteria
Description: bacterial SSU rRNA
Rfam family: Bacterial small subunit ribosomal RNA
Source: RNAcentral